RNAcentral lists this unclassified non-coding RNA (214 nucleotides) under uncultured fungus. Its description in RNAcentral is "sequence contains ITS1". The record is from RNAcentral. Lineage: Eukaryota; Fungi.
UUAAUUUUCAUUCGAAAAUAUUUAGUUCAGACAAUAUUUUAAAAGACUGGUUUAAAUUGGUGCCAUCGGCAGGCUCACAGCUCAGCUGUUUCCAGCUGGGACCUGCUGCCGAAGCGUAAGGUGUUUGGUUCACAAAGGGUUGAAGCGUGCAACCGGCCUGAACCGGAGCAGCUAAAGUUUGGUAAUGAUCCUUCCGCAGGUUCACCUACGGAAA